AUGAUUGCUCGCUGCACCAGGAGCAGCUACAGCUAGGCACUUAGGAAAGUGCUAUUUUACCAUAACAUCUGAUAUGUUGUCAAUUUGUAGGUAGACGCUGCCAAAGAUGAGCCAUUUUCCAUUGACAGCGCGCCUGUUAAGAGGGUAUUGCGCUAGGCCAAACAAUUUAGCUGGAUGCCCAAACCUGUGACCGGCCCCCUGGCCACCAGCCGACAAGUCUGCUGAGCUGUGCGCCGACAUUGAUGUUGUACCUGAGCACUGGAGGUGAUAUGUGAGACCUCAAAGUCACCUCCGUGUACACGCGCCUUGUGAUUGGACAGCUACCAGUCGAGAGUGUUCAACAUCGCCUUCUAUCCUUGAGGAGAAAUGUUAUAUAAAAUAAAUGGAUGGAAAAUCAGGGCCAUAAUAUUCAACGCUCACUCAAAUUACCAUAUGAUGAAUAAUAGGUUAUCCCAAGCGACCACUCAGAACUUCUCUUGUGUGUUCUACAUGCAGAGAUCUAUCUAUUUUUAAUUUCCUGUGUAGUGUACCCCGAAAAUCCCUCCAGUGUCAAGCACUUUAUGUUAUUUUAUUUUUUUACAGGAUAUCAGAUUGUCAUGUAACUUCCAAUUAUUUUGGACUUCUAUAAAUGCUCUAACAUAAAUGUCCUAGUGGCUAUUGUAGGUGUGCUUGUGCACGCCUACUGCAGUUUUAGGCCUUGGGCAGGCCAAUGUUGUACUGCUGCCAAAAACAGUAAAGCAGCCCCCCGU
Molecule: long non-coding RNA, 749 nt
Organism: Corythoichthys intestinalis (scribbled pipefish)
Lineage: Eukaryota; Metazoa; Chordata; Actinopteri; Syngnathiformes; Syngnathidae
Exons: 3
Source: RefSeq, a predicted model, not a curated record